RNAcentral lists this non-coding RNA (29 nucleotides) under Rattus norvegicus (Norway rat). Lineage: Eukaryota; Metazoa; Chordata; Mammalia; Rodentia; Muridae. The record is from RNAcentral.
UGAGUUCAAAUUGGAAAUUGCUUGAAAUU